RNAcentral lists this ribosomal RNA (403 nucleotides) under Verrucomicrobiota bacterium. Its description in RNAcentral is "Verrucomicrobia bacterium partial 16S ribosomal RNA". It matches the Rfam family "Bacterial small subunit ribosomal RNA", at positions 355 to 776 of the family's 1533-position model. Lineage: Bacteria; Pseudomonadati; Verrucomicrobiota. The record is from RNAcentral.
UGGGGAAUAUUGCACAAUGGGGGAAACCCUGAUGCAGCGACGCCGCGUGAGCGAAGAAGGCCUUCGGGUCGUAAAGCUCUUUUAUAUGGGAAGAUAAUGACGGUACCAUAAGAAAAAGCCCCGGCUAACUACGUGCCAGCAGCCGCGGUAAUACGUAGGGGGCUAGCGCUGUCCGGAAUCACUGGGCGUAAAGGGUUCGCAGGCGGAAAUGCAAGUCAGGUGUAAAAGGCAGUAGCUUAACUACUGUAAGCAUUUGAAACUGCAUAUCUUGAGAAGAGUAGAGGUAAGUGGAAUUUUUAGUGUAGCGGUGAAAUGCGUAGAUAUUAAAAAGAAUACCGGUGGCGAAGGCGACUUACUGGGCUCAUUCUGACGCUGAGGAACGAAAGCGUGGGUAGCAAACAGG